GUGCACGGUUCUGCCUCCAGUCCGCCGCCCGCGCGACUGCUCCAACGAAGGAAAGUCUGAUCCCGCCAUGGCGCCAUCUCCACCCCCGCUUACCUCUCUCGGCCGCCAUCAUGGAAGGUCCGACCCCGCCAUCGCUGUCCCCACGCGGUUGCUCCAAGGAAGGAAACUCUGAUCCCGCUAUCCCCGCCCCCGCUCUCUCUCGCCAUCUCCGUGCGGCUGCUCCAAGGAAGGAAGGUCCGACCCCGCCAUCGCCAUCCCCGCGUGGCUGCCUUCCCCUCUCGCCAUCCCCGCGCGGCUGCUCCAAGGAAGGAAGGUCCGACCCCGCCAUCGCCAUCCCCGCGCGCCCGGUCGAGCGCCACCAGCCGCAUAAGUCUGGGCUAGCGCCGCCGGCCACCAUUGGCUCGGUCGAGCACCUCAUGCCCACGACGGUCAGUCGCCGCCUUCAUGGCUCAGAGUCGUCGGUCCCUGCCCACCAAGGUCACCAUGGGCUCGACGACGAUGGCAACAAGGUCAAGGUCGUCAUCACAACCCAAGGUAGUAGCUCUUCAGUUCCCCCGCCAUUCCCCACCACCCCUCCACCGUCUCCACCGCACACAGCAUGCCCGACUCUAUUCUCCUCCCCGAAAUCCCCGUGGCGCGCAGAUCUAGCCCCGGCUCCUCGCCGGCACAAACCACGUGCGCGCCCUCGACCCAUGGCAUCCCCAAAUCCCGCCCCCGGUUCCUCUCCCUUCCCGUUCGCGGACGACGCUUCCGCGCGUUGACGUACGCGUCCCCAAAUCCCCGGUUCCCCUCCCUUCCUGUUCGCGGAUGGCGCUUCCGAGCCCUCGACCCAUGGCGUCCCCAAAUCCCAGGUUCCUCUCCCUUCCCGUUCGCGGACGGCGCUUCCGCGCGUCGACGUUCGUGUCCCCAAUUCCUGCCCCGGUUCGGCGCUUCCCCACAUCGAGGCACCACACCAUCGCCAUGGGGUAUCGACAACGUCGACAGCGUGUGGCCCCAUCGUUCGCAGACCAACCCGGCCACGGUUGCCCUGCUGCUGACGGAUAAGGACCUGGAGUCGGAGGAGAGCAUGUACGAGCGGUGGAGCAGCGUGCACACCGUGUCGCGGGACCUCACGGAGAAGCAGAGCAGGUUCGAGGCGUUCAAGGCGAACUCUAGGCACAUCGGCGAGUUCAACAAGAUGAAAGACGUUCCCUACAAGCUCGGCCUCAACAAGAACAAAAGGAAAGUUGAGAAGAUUGAAAAUGACUAUGCCAAAUGCAAGUUCGUUGCCCAAUGUUUUAUAUAUGGUGAUAGUUUCAGCUCUGGAAUUUAGCUGAAGUUGAAUGCUUCAUAUGUUUAGACUGAAAUUUUGGUACUAAACUGGUAGAUUAUUGUUAUUUAAAUAUAUAAAAAAAAUCAUCUUCUACGAUUCAGAGAAAUUAUGUGAAGCUUCAAUUUGACUCCAUGCAACAGGUUUAGCUAUUGACAACCUCGAUUACAUUUUCACAGUGGGAGCUCCUUCGAUUAUUAACCACAGGUCGUAUGCUAAACUAUUAGCUAUAUAUUCGUUUAUCUAUUAUCUUUACCAGAUUAGAUCAAUUAAUAUAUCACCACCUUCUCUAUUCAUCCAUUUUUUUGGGUAUAUUUAGUUGUGUACCAAAUGCAGUUUUGAUAUUUGAUGGUAGGACAGCAUAUGUUCGUGCAUUGCAACCGAUAAAUAAAGAUGAAGAGGUAUCUAUAAGCUACAUUGAGACUGCGGCAGUCACCAAGAAGAGAAACAAUGAUCUGAAACAGUACUUCUUCACCUGCACAUGUCCACGCUGUGUAAAGGGUUUUGAUGAGGAUGCACUACUUGAGGGGUUCAGGUGCAAGAGCCAAGCAUGUGAUGGCUUUCUGCUGCCCAACUCAGGUAAAAAGGCUUAUACAUGCCAAAAAUGUGGUGCUUCUAGAGAUGUGGAAGAGAUAAAAAAUAUGAGAAGCAAAAUACUACAGUUAUCGGAUAAAGCAUCUUCAUUUCUUUCAUCAGGAAAUAAGGCUGAAGCAGGUUCUAUCUACAAGAUAAUCAAACAGUUAGAGAGAAAUCUGUACCAUGCUUUCUCAACUACUUUGCUGCACACGUGCGAAACACUAUUGAAGAUAUAUCUGGAAUUACAAGAUUGGUGGACUGCGUUGACAUACUGUAGAUUGACAAUUCCUGUUUAUGAAAGAGUUUAUCCACCUUUUCAUCCGAUGAUUGGAUUACAAUUCUAUACUUGUGGAAAGCUUGAAUGGUAUGGACUAUUAGCCCUUACCUAUUUACCUCACACAAGGACAACAAUCAUAUGAGUUUAUUCCUUAUCCGGUAUAAAUGUUUGCUGUUAAUGUCUUAUGCUUUACUAAUAUAGCUGUUAUUGAUUCUGACAAAAGUUGAUUUUGGAUUUGACACUGAUAGUAUAGGGUCAAUAAGAGCAACUCUAAAAGCCUCUGUAAAUUUCAAUCUCUAUAUCUAACAUUUGGAGAGCCAUUCAAUGAAUAUUAUUUUUGUAUAUCUCUCUUAUCUGCAACAGGUUUUCCAAUAUUUGUUCUCUAUACUUCGAUAGCUUAUCAUAUUUUUUCUUUGUUGAAAAACAAGAAAACUAAAUGUAGCCGCCUCUUCAAAAAUGGAGUGAAGGAAGGAUGGUUUUGGAGAGUGGUUUAGAGAAGUUUAUCUAUUGGAGUUUUUUUAUUUGUUUUCUAAAUUUUGUUAUAAAGAAACAUGUAGAAUGUCUUAGAGAUUCUCUAAGAAAAAUGCUAGCUAUGAACUUUUAUAAAGAGAAGUUCAGAAUCAGUUCUUUUUAUUCUCUAAUAUAUAUGUUGUUCGUUUCCAUGUAAUUAUUAUGUACUAACAUUUAUCGAAUAAUUUUUACGCCGUCGCAACGCACGGACACACACCUAUAUAGAUAUAUGAUGGUCAUGUUUCGCCCGGACGCAGGGACUGGUUCGGAGGGAGACGGCCCCUCACUCUCUGCCCUCCUGCUGCCUGCCUACUGCUAUACUGUUCUCUUGUGUUCAUGUUCAUAUAAAAUUCAGUUUCAUGUUCAUAUUUUCAUAACUGUAUAUGUUCAUCUUAUCAUACAGUUUGGGUCCUUGAACUUUGGAACACUGAAUCCCUACUACUCUCCCCCCAUAAAGGUGUGUGACCUCAUAUGAUGCGGAGCUGUUUUGGUCUCGAGUCAUAAGGGUAUUGAUUUGGAGAUAAUGCUGCUCGGGCUUCUUUGAACUGAACUGAUUAAGUCAGCAACAUAUCCAAUAUUAAUGCUCCGCCGCCGGUGCCGUGGCCUGCAUCGCAUGCCCGACGCUCUACGCCUACCUGAAGAAGACAGACCCCGGAGUGCCCGCGCAGCUGCUGGAGUACGACGAGCGGUUCGGGCAGUACGGCUGCGACUUCACCUUCUACGACUACAACCGACCGGAGGAGCUGCCGGCGGCGAUGAAGCACGCCUACCGAGUCAUCGUUGCCGACCCUCCCUAUCUGAGUAAGGAGUGCUUGGAAAAGGUUGCCAAAACAGUAUCUUUCCUCGCACGACCUGAAGGUUCAUUCCUGCUGCUGCUCACAGGGGAAGUUCGGAUGGACCGGGCAUUGGAGCUGCUGAAUGUUCGUCCCUGCGGUUUCAGGCCUCGCCACUCGAACAAACUAGGCAACGAGUUCCGGCUGUUCACGAAUUAAGAUCCUGCUGACAGACUUGGUGGUUGGGAGCAAAGUGAUGGUGCCCCCAUUUAACUAUAAACUAAUACAAUUUUUGUUCUAGAGCUGUUCCAUCUUUAUGAACAUGUUGCAUCUUUGAUCCACAGCUCACUGAUCCCUCCAAUUUAAAUUGUAGUGACAAUUAUUUGAGGAAUCUGUGUGCUAUGAUGUAUGAUUAAUCAAACAUUUACACUGUUAGUGUACCUCAUUUUAAUUUCAUUUUAAAAUACACUGUUAGUGUAUGUUUCAUUUUAAUUUCAUCAGUAUUCUUUAGAAUGUCUCGUUGGCUUAUUCAGAUUUAUAGCCAAAAUGACAUUAUCUUGGGGAUAGUUCAUCAGUAUUUUUUAAUUUCAUUAUCUCGUUCGGCGGCGGCAUCCCGGACGGGCACAGCCUGCACACUGGCGGGCAGGUCGUGAAGGCACCCACCAUCGAGCAGAACCUGUCGUGCAACCUUGAGUAGCUGUACAAGGGCAUCACCAAGAAGUUGAAUAUUUCUAGGGAAAUUGUUGACGCAAGUGGCUAACCAGAUGGACCAGUCCCUGUCAGAUUUAUGCUUGGUUAAUUUCUGCUCGCCGGUGCAGGCGACGCUUCUCCUUCAGACGCUCAACCAGUCAAGAAGGAGUCCGAGAGCCAGGCAUGGCUCGGAUUAGGACCGAAUGCCGUCAAGUCCAACCUGAACCUGAGCUAGCACACAACGACACAGCCAAAUAAGACAGCACAGCAACCUCACCAAAGCCUUUGCAGGACGAUCUGAAAAUAUGCUUUGCCACUAGAGUACCGAAACCAUAAAUAUCCUCUCGUUAUCGUGUUUUAGUGUUCUGUUUAGGCCGUGGUCCUACGCCCUCUUGUCACAUAGUCUGGAUGUAAAGAUAAGUAGCCAGCCAUGACUGAGAGAAGUUUUUUGGGGGGGGGGGUGUUAACACACGGCCACUCUGAAUUGGCCAUGCUAAGGAAAAUGAUAGUAGUGCAAAGAGAAGUAUAUGUCUUUUUUCUUUUUCUUUUUCUGAAAGCCAGAUCGUUUGGCUCUAGCCUUGAUGUAUGCAGAACAAGUGAUUGUAAUGGAUUCUGAGUAUCCUCAUCGUCUUGCUGUUGCUUCACCAA
This is an RNA transcript of Zea mays, 4783 nucleotides long. It is a transcript of the gene named histone-lysine N-methyltransferase ASHR1, with no coding region annotated. The record is from RefSeq and is a predicted model, not a curated record. The transcript is spliced from 15 exons. NCBI's taxonomy places the organism in Eukaryota, Viridiplantae, Streptophyta, Magnoliopsida, Poales, Poaceae.